RNAcentral lists this ribosomal RNA (505 nucleotides) under Beilschmiedia robusta. RNAcentral's name for it is "eukaryotic LSU rRNA". The stretch from base 5 to 160 matches the Rfam family "5.8S ribosomal RNA". Lineage: Eukaryota; Viridiplantae; Streptophyta; Magnoliopsida; Laurales; Lauraceae. RNAcentral also lists the same sequence under 1 other name. The record is from RNAcentral.
AGACGACUCUCGGCAACGGAUAUCUCGGCUCUUGCAUCGAUGAAGAACGUAGCGAGAUGCGAUACGUGGUGUGAAUUGCAGAAUCCCGUGAACCAUCGAGUCUUUGAACGCAAGUUGCGCCCGAGGCCACUCGGCCGAGGGCACGCCUGCCUGGGCGUCACGCCCCCGUUCGCUCCCUCAAGGCACGCCCUGCCUCGGGGAUGCGGAGAUUGGCCGCCCGUUGCGCGAAUCGAAGGCGAGCGGUUGGCCCAAAUGCAGGUCAAAGUGCGGUGCGGCACGACGCGCGUUGGUUUAGUCGCGCGGCUGAUCGCUGGUCGGUCGCCGCGCCCGUGUCAUGCCGCUCGCGGUGCGACCCGUGGGACGCAACUUGCCCGCUGCGGCGGGCACUCGGACCGCGACCCCAGGUCAGGCGGGACCACCCGCUGAGUUUAAGCAUAUCAAUAAGCGGAGGAGAAGAAACUUACGAGGAUUCCCCUAGUAACGGCGAGCGAACCGGGAGCAGCCC